This 483-nucleotide ribosomal RNA is filed under the name uncultured bacterium. RNAcentral's name for it is "bacterial SSU rRNA". It matches the Rfam family "Bacterial small subunit ribosomal RNA", at positions 30 to 507 of the family's 1533-position model. The record is from RNAcentral.
AUUGAACGCUGGCGGCAUGCCUUACACAUGCAAGUCGAACGGCAGCGCGGGGGCAACCUGGCGGCGAGUGGCGAACGGGUGAGUAAUAUAUCGGAACGUGCCCGGUCGUGGGGGAUAACGUAGCGAAAGCUACGCUAAUACCGCAUACGAUCUACGGAUGAAAGCGGGGGAUCGCAAGACCUCGCGCGAUUGGAGCGGCCGAUAUCAGAUUAGGUAGUUGGUGAGGUAAAGGCUCACCAAGCCGACGAUCUGUAGCUGGUCUGAGAGGACGACCAGCCACACUGGGACUGAGACACGGCCCAGACUCCUACGGGAGGCAGCAGUGGGGAAUUUUGGACAAUGGGCGCAAGCCUGAUCCAGCAAUGCCGCGUGCAGGAUGAAGGCCUUCGGGUUGUAAACUGCUUUUGUACGGAACGAAACGGUGAGCUCUAAUACAGUUUGCUAAUGACGGUACCGUAAGAAUAAGCACCGGCUAACUACGUG